Molecule: ribosomal RNA, 497 nt
Filed under: uncultured bacterium
Lineage: Bacteria
Description: partial 16S ribosomal RNA
Rfam family: Bacterial small subunit ribosomal RNA
Source: RNAcentral
GACGAACGCUGGCGGCGUGCCUAAUACAUGCAAGUUGAGCGAUGAAGAUUGGUGCUUGCACCAAUUUGAAGAGCAGCGGACGGGUGAGUAACGCGUGGGGAAUCUGCCUUUGAGCGGGGGACAACAUUUGGAAACGAAUGCUAAUACCGCAUAACAACUUUAAACAUAAGUUUUAAGUUUGAAAGAUGCAAUUGCAUCACUCAAAGAUGAUCCCGCGUUGUAUUAGCUAGUUGGUGAGGUAAAGGCUCACCAAGGCGAUGAUACAUAGCCGACCGGAGAGGGAGCUCGGCCACAGUGGGACUGAGACACGGCCCAAGCUCCUACGGGAGGCAGCAGUAGGGAAUCUUAGGCAAUGGACGAAAGUCUGACCGAGAAACGCCGCGGGAGUGAAGAAGGGUGUCGGAUCGUAAAACUCUGUUGGUAGAGAAGAACGUUGGUGAGAGUGGAAAGCUCAUCAAGUGACGGUAACUACCCAGAAAGGGACGGCUAACUACGUG